AGCUUUGCGCAGUGGCAGUAUCAUAGCCAAUGAGGUUUAUCUGAGGUGGCGAUUAUUGCUAAUUGAAAACUUCCCAAUAAUUAG
RNAcentral lists this small nuclear RNA (84 nucleotides) under Chinchilla lanigera (long-tailed chinchilla). Its description in RNAcentral is "U4 spliceosomal RNA (ENSCLAG00000020738.1)". It matches the Rfam family "U4 spliceosomal RNA". Rfam says of the family: U4 small nuclear RNA (U4 snRNA) is a component of the major U2-dependent spliceosome. The record is from RNAcentral. Lineage: Eukaryota; Metazoa; Chordata; Mammalia; Rodentia; Chinchillidae.